Molecule: transfer RNA, 74 nt
Filed under: Rattus norvegicus (Norway rat)
Lineage: Eukaryota; Metazoa; Chordata; Mammalia; Rodentia; Muridae
Rfam family: tRNA
About the family: Transfer RNA (tRNA) molecules are approximately 80 nucleotides in length. Their secondary structure includes four short double-helical elements and three loops (D, anti-codon, and T loops).
Source: Rfam by way of RNAcentral
GGAGAGAUAGCACAGUGGGUAGAGUUGUUGCUCUUCAAGCAUUCGUACUUGAGUUUGGAUCCUCAACUUCUCCA